AAGGCUUUAAGUUAAAUAAAACUAAUAGCCUUCAAAGCUGUAAAUAUAGGGAAUCCUUUAAGCCUUA
RNAcentral lists this transfer RNA (67 nucleotides) under Drosophila americana. Its description in RNAcentral is "tRNA-Trp". It matches the Rfam family "tRNA". Rfam says of the family: Transfer RNA (tRNA) molecules are approximately 80 nucleotides in length. Their secondary structure includes four short double-helical elements and three loops (D, anti-codon, and T loops). Further hydrogen bonds mediate the characteristic L-shaped molecular structure. tRNAs have two regions of fundamental functional importance: the anti-codon, which is responsible for specific mRNA codon recognition, and the 3' end, to which the tRNAs corresponding amino acid is attached (by aminoacyl-tRNA synthetases). tRNAs cope with the degeneracy of the genetic code in two manners: having more than one tRNA (with a specific anti-codon) for a particular amino acid; and 'wobble' base-pairing, i.e. permitting non-standard base-pairing at the 3rd anti-codon position. Lineage: Eukaryota; Metazoa; Arthropoda; Insecta; Diptera; Drosophilidae. RNAcentral also lists the same sequence under 1 other name. The record is from RNAcentral.